RNAcentral lists this ribosomal RNA (496 nucleotides) under uncultured bacterium. Its description in RNAcentral is "bacterial SSU rRNA". It matches the Rfam family "Bacterial small subunit ribosomal RNA", at positions 28 to 526 of the family's 1533-position model. The record is from RNAcentral.
GACGAACGCUGGCGGCGUGCUUAACACAUGCAAGUCGGACGGUAAGGCCCUUUCGGGGGUACACGAGUGGCGAACGGGUGAGUAACACGUGGGUGAUCUGCCCCAUGCUCUGGGAUAAGCCUGGGAAACCGGGUCUAAUACCGGAUAGGACCGCAUGCUGCAUGGUGUGUGGUGGAAAGCGCCCUUUCUUGGGGUGUGGUGUGGGAUGGGCCCGCGGCCUAUCAGCUUGUUGGUGGGGUAAUGGCCUACCAAGGCGACGACGGGUAGCCGGCCUGAGAGGGUGAUCGGCCACACUGGGACUGAGACACGGCCCAGACUCCUACGGGAGGCAGCAGUGGGGAAUAUUGCACAAUGGGCGGAAGCCUGAUGCAGCGACGCCGCGUGAGGGAUGACGGCCUUCGGGUUGUAAACCUCUUUCGCCUACGACGAAGCCUUCGGGUGACGGUAGUGGGAGAAGAAGCACCGGCCAACUACGUGCCAGCCGCCGCCGUAAGAC